CGAUUGUAGUCAUAUGCUUGUCUCAAAGAUUAAGCCAUGCAUGUCUAAGUAUAAGCAAUUAUACAGCGAAACUGCGAAUGGCUCAUUAAAUCAGUUAUCGUUUAUUUGAUAGUACCUUACUACAUGGAUAACCGUGGUAAUUCUAGAGCUAAUACAUGCUAAAAACCCCGACUUCGGAAGGGGUGUAUUUAUUAGAUUAAAAACCAAUGCCCUUCGGGGCUCCCUGGUGAUUCAUAAUAACUUCUCGAAUCGCACGGCCUUGCGCCGGCGAUGGUUCAUUCAAAUUUCUGCCCUAUCAACUUUCGACGGCGGGGUCUUGGCCUGCCAUGGUGACAACGGGUAACGGAGGGUUAGGGCUCGACCCCGGAGAAGGAGCCUGAGAAACGGCUACUACAUCCAAGGAAGGCAGCAGGCGCGCAAAUUACCCAAUCCCGACUCGGGGAGGUAGUGACAAUAAAUACUGAUACAGGGCUCUUUUGGGUCUUGUAAUUGGAAUGAGUACAAUUUAAAUCCCUUAACGAGGAACAAUUGGAGGGCAAGUCUGGUA
This 547-nucleotide ribosomal RNA is filed under the name uncultured eukaryote. RNAcentral's name for it is "SSU rRNA". It matches the Rfam family "Eukaryotic small subunit ribosomal RNA", at positions 21 to 566 of the family's 1831-position model. The record is from RNAcentral.